Molecule: ribosomal RNA, 205 nt
Filed under: uncultured bacterium
Lineage: Bacteria
Description: partial 16S ribosomal RNA
Rfam family: Bacterial small subunit ribosomal RNA
Source: RNAcentral
AUUGAACGCUGGCGGCAUGCCUUACACAUGCAAGUCGAACGGCAGCACGGGGGCAACCCUGGUGGCGAGUGGCGAACGGGUGAGUAACAUAUCGGAACGUGCCCCUGGAGUGGGGGAUAACUAGUCGAAAGACUAGCUAAUACCGCAUACGAUCUACGGAUGAAAGUGGGGGAUCGCAAGACCUCAUGCUCGUGGACGCGGCCGA